This 495-nucleotide ribosomal RNA is filed under the name uncultured bacterium. RNAcentral describes it as "partial 16S ribosomal RNA". It matches the Rfam family "Bacterial small subunit ribosomal RNA", at positions 28 to 507 of the family's 1533-position model. The record is from RNAcentral.
GACGAACGCUGGCGGCGUGCCUAAUACAUGCAAGUAGAACGCUGAAGGAGGAGCUUGCUUCUCUGGAUGAGUUGCGAACGGGUGAGUAACGCGUAGGUAACCUGCCUGGUAGCGGGGGAUAACUAUUGGAAACGAUAGCUAAUACCGCAUAAUAGUAGAUGUUGCAUGACAUUUGCUUAAGAGGUGCAAUUGCAUCACUACCAGAUGGACCUGCGUUGUAUUAGCUAGUUGGUGGGGUAACGGCUCACCAAGGCGACGAUACAUAGCCGACCUGAGAGGGUGAUCGGCCACACUGGGACUGAGACACGGCCCAGACUCCUACGGGAGGCAGCAGUAGGGAAUCUUCGGCAAUGGACGGAAGUCUGACCGAGCAACGCCGCGUGAGUGAAGAAGGUUUUCGGAUCGUAAAGCUCUGUUGUAAGAGAAGAACGAGUGUGAGAGUGGAAAGUUCACACUGUGACGGUAGCUUACCAGAAAGGGACGGCUAACUACGUG